GCGGGGCAUGCGUGCUGCGUGCGUGCGCGUUCUGGAGGCUCCGCCGCCGCUGCUCUCGAGGCCGCUACCGCCGCCGUCGCCGCGUAGAGCCGGAGCAGGAGCCACGGCCGAGAGGAGGGAGGAGGAGGAGGAGGAGGUGGAGGAGGUGCCGGACCGGGGGGGGUGAGUGAGGGGCGGGGAGCCGGAGCCGGCCCCAGAGGGAGCGAGGGGCGCGGGUCGGACGAGUCCGGGCCGAGGCGGCUCCUGUCGCCGGUCAGUCCCCUGGCUCCCCCUUCCUCCUCCGUGUUCCCUCGGUGGCCGGGGCGGCGGCCCGGGGGCCUGGCGGGCGGGAGGGGCCAGGACUCGGGGAGGCCCGGCCGCCGCCACCGGGGCCGGAGCCAACCACGCCCGCGGACCGAGCCGGUCGACUGUGGCUGGGCCUGCGGGAGAGGGACGGGAGGGGCCCGGGCCGGGUGUGGGAGAGAAAGAGGACAUUGUGUCCCCCACCCUCCAACUCCCCGAGGUGUCAUGGCACAAGCCCAUUUCCCUCGCCAUCUCCCCGGACACAGUGCCCUCGCCCCUUGCUGCCUGAGAGAGGAAAGAUCACAACAUUUCCGUUGGUUAUAAGAAGUGAAGUCUCUAAAGAUUUCAGAAAUUUGUGACAGUACUAGUCUUGAGAAAAACAAGAGGAGAAAGUAUCAAUGAAGAUACUCUCUCAGUGGGAUAGUACUAUGACUUCACGUUACAGAAACGAUUGACUUUCCAUUAUGAUGUGCUAUGAGGAACGUUGUUCUUUAUUUUAGAAAGGUAAGUCUUACCAUCAUUUCCAUAUUACUUACCACCAUCCCCACCCAUACCCAGUAUUUUGUGGUCAGUUGUCAGAUUUAAAAUAUUCACAGCUUCUGUAAAUAUUUAAAUAUAACCAACAGUAUAACUGCUUGUUAAGAAGUUUCAGUGUUCCUUAAUGUA
This 948-nucleotide long non-coding RNA is filed under the name Capra hircus (goat). RNAcentral's name for it is "lncRNA (ENSCHIG00000006942.1)". The record is from RNAcentral. Lineage: Eukaryota; Metazoa; Chordata; Mammalia; Artiodactyla; Bovidae.